UAAUAAGUGUUUUAUGGCACUUUUUAAAUCCAUAUCCACCUUGUGUGCAAUGUCAGUCGAUCUUCUUCAUGGAGAUCGACAAACAUCAACCUUUAUCUUUUAACUCUUUGUCUGAAAAUAUCAUGAAUAAACAAUUCAAAAUA
This 143-nucleotide unclassified non-coding RNA is filed under the name soil metagenome. RNAcentral describes it as "partial internal transcribed spacer 1". The record is from RNAcentral.